RNAcentral lists this small nuclear RNA (107 nucleotides) under Tupaia belangeri (northern tree shrew). The record is from RNAcentral. Lineage: Eukaryota; Metazoa; Chordata; Mammalia; Scandentia; Tupaiidae.
GUGCUCGCUUUGGCAGCACAUAUCCUAAAACUGGAAUGAUACAGAGAAAAUUAGCUUGGCCCCUGUGCAAGGAUGACACGCAAAUUCAUGAAGCAUUCCAUGAUUUU